CCUGACUGCUAUCGGAUUGAUACUAAGCCAUGCGAGUCUUUGUAGUAAUACAAGGCAGACGGCUCAGUAACACGUAGUCAAUCUACCCUAUGGACGGGGAUAACCUCGGGAAACUGAGAAUAAUACCCGACAGAUCAUUAUGCCUGGAAUGGUUUAUGGUUCAAAUGAUUUUUCGCCGUAGGAUGGGACUGCGGUCUAUCAGCUUGUUGGUGAGGUAAUGGCCCACCAAGGCUAUAACAGAUACGGGCUCUGAGAGGAGAAGCCCGGAGAUGGGUACUGAGACACGGACCCAGGCCCUAUGGGGCGCAGCAGGCGAGAAAACUUUGCAAUGUGCGAAAGCACGACAAGGUUAAUCCGAGUGUUUUCUGCUAAAGAAAUCUUUUGUUAGUUCUAAAUCCACUAUCGAAUAAGGGGUGGGCAAGUUCUGGUGUCAGCCGCCGCGGUAAAACCAGCACCUCAAGUGGUCAGGAGGAUUAUUGGGCCUAAAGCAUCCGUAGCCGGCUAUGUUAGUUUUCGGUUAAAUCCAUGUGCUCAACAUAUGGGCUGUCGAGAAUACUGCAUAGCUAGGGAGUGGGAGAGGUAGACGGUACUCGAUAGGAAGGGGUAAAAUCCUUUGAUCUAUUGAUGACCACCAGUGGCGAAGGCGGUCUACCAGAACACGUCCGACGGUGAGGGAUGAAAGCUGGGGGAGCAAACCGGAUUAGAUACCCGGGUAGUCCCAGCUGUAAACUAUGCAAACUCAGUGAUGCAUUGGCUUGUGGCCAAUGCAGUGCCGCAGAGAAGUCGUUAAGUUUGCCGCCUGGGAAGUACGUACGCAAGUAUGAAACUUAAAGGAAUUGGCGGGGGAGCACCACAAGGGGUGAAGCCUGCGGUUC
Molecule: ribosomal RNA, 875 nt
Filed under: uncultured Candidatus Nitrosopumilus sp.
Lineage: Archaea; Thermoproteati; Nitrososphaerota; Nitrososphaeria; Nitrosopumilales; Nitrosopumilaceae
Description: bacterial SSU rRNA
Rfam family: Archaeal small subunit ribosomal RNA
Source: RNAcentral